GGGAUUGUGGCUCAGCGGUGUAGAGUGCUCACCUCCCAUGUGUGAGACCCUGGGUUCGAUCCUCAGCACCA
This is a non-coding RNA of Ictidomys tridecemlineatus (thirteen-lined ground squirrel), 71 nucleotides long. Lineage: Eukaryota; Metazoa; Chordata; Mammalia; Rodentia; Sciuridae. The record is from Rfam.